UAUAUGAUGGACCCGCGUCUGAUUAGCUGGUUGGCGGGGUAACGGCCCACCAAGGCGACGAUCAGUAGCCGGCCUGAGAGGGUGGACGGCCACAUUGGGACUGAGACACGGCCCAAACUCCUACGGGAGGCAGCAGUGGGGGAUAUUGGACAAUGGGGGGAACCCUGAUCCAGCGACGCCGCGUGAGUGAAGAAGUAUCUCGGUAUGUAAAGCUCUAUCAGCAGGGAAGAAAGAAAUGACGGUACCUGAGUAAGAAGCCCCGGCUAACUACGUGCCAGCAGCCGCGGUAAUACGUAGGGGGCAAGCGUUAUCCGGAAUUACUGGGUGUAAAGGGAGCGUACACGGUGAUGUAAGUCUGGAGUGAAAGGCGGGGGCCCAACCCCCGGACUGCUCUGGAAACUAUAUGACUGGAG
Molecule: ribosomal RNA, 413 nt
Filed under: uncultured bacterium
Lineage: Bacteria
Description: bacterial SSU rRNA
Rfam family: Bacterial small subunit ribosomal RNA
Source: RNAcentral